CCUACGGGAGGCAGCAGUGGGGAAUAUUGCGCAAUGGGCGAAAGCCUGACGCAGCGACGCCGCGUGAGGGAUGAAGGUCUUCGGAUCGUAAACCUCUGUCAGCAGGGAAGAACGGUCACUGUGCUAAUCAGCAGUGAAUUGACGGUACCUGCAAAGGAAGCACCGGCUAACUCCGUGCCAGCAGCCGCGGUAAUACGGAGGGUGCGAGCGGUAAUCGGAAUUACUGGGCGUAAAGCGCUCGUAGGCGGUAUGUCAAGUCAAGGGUGAAAUCCCCGGGCUCAACGUGGGAACUGCCUUUGAAACUGGCAGACUGGAGUGUGUGAGAGGAUAGUGGAAUUCCAGGUGUAGGAGUGAAAUCCGUAGAUAUCUGGAGGAACAUCAGUGGCGAAGGCGACUAUCUGGCACAUAACUGACGCUGAGGAGCGAAAGCGUGGGUAGCAAACAGGAUUAGAUACCCUGGUAGUC
RNAcentral lists this ribosomal RNA (465 nucleotides) under uncultured bacterium. RNAcentral describes it as "partial 16S ribosomal RNA". It matches the Rfam family "Bacterial small subunit ribosomal RNA", at positions 338 to 795 of the family's 1533-position model. The record is from RNAcentral.